This 219-nucleotide unclassified non-coding RNA is filed under the name Hevea brasiliensis (rubber tree). Lineage: Eukaryota; Viridiplantae; Streptophyta; Magnoliopsida; Malpighiales; Euphorbiaceae. The record is from RNAcentral.
GUUGGAGAAUGGGCAAAUACAGGGGCUGAAGCAAAUCGAAAACCUUCCGGCCAAAACGAGUUACUAAGGAUCGAGACACUCUAUCAUGCAGAUAAAGAAAAGACCGAAGCUUACAUUCUUGAACUGGUGGUAUGGCUUCACCAUCUAAUCAGCCAAGCUAGAGCUUGUAAUACUGGAAUAAGAUCUCCUGUUAAAUCCCCAAUUAGAUCCCCAAAUCAG